RNAcentral lists this ribosomal RNA (253 nucleotides) under uncultured bacterium. RNAcentral's name for it is "partial 16S ribosomal RNA". It matches the Rfam family "Bacterial small subunit ribosomal RNA", at positions 524 to 776 of the family's 1533-position model. The record is from RNAcentral.
UACGAAGGUGGCAAGCGUUACUCGGAAUUACUAGGCGUAAAGGGCAGGUAGGCGGUUUGAUGAGUCUGUUGUGAAAGCUCCCGGCUUAACUGGGAGAGGUCAACAGAUACUGUCGAACUUGAGUAUGGGAGAGGGUACUGGAAUUCCUGGUGUAGCGGUGAAAUGCGCAGAGAUCAGGAGGAACACCGAUGGCGAAAGCAGGUACCUGGACCAUUACUGACGCUCAGCUGCGAAAGCUAGGGGAGCAAACAGG